Molecule: long non-coding RNA, 12799 nt
Filed under: Medicago truncatula (barrel medic)
Lineage: Eukaryota; Viridiplantae; Streptophyta; Magnoliopsida; Fabales; Fabaceae
Description: long non-coding RNA (MTRU_LNC004370)
Source: RNAcentral
UGUUUCUUGAGCACUCCUUGUCCUCUUCCUGAUAAGAGGGACAUCAUCCGAAUCUUCCUCCUCUUCCUGAAUGGUGGACAUUGCAGGUUUGUCAUUUUUAGCCUUCUGGUGCUUCUGAGCACCCUUCUCAGAAGCAUCACCAGCAAGAUAUUCCUCCUUGGUGAUUGGCUUUUUCUUGGAUUUCCUGCCUUUGGCCACAGGCAAAGCACCACCAUACAUCUGAAGGUGAAAAACACAAGAAGGGGGGGGGGGGGUUGAAUUGUGUUUUCUUUUUCUCUUAAAAAGGGAUUCUUCUUCUGAUAAAACUUCAGAAGCAGUUUGAUUGCUUCUGAUGAAAUGAUCAGAGUCAGAUUGCAGCGGAAAAGAACAGAGCAGAGAAAAGAAAGACAAAGACACAGGCAGUUAUCCUGGUUCCUUCCACAACACGGAAGUAGUCCAGUCCCCCUUGCACUUCCAAGGAGAUUUCACUAUAAUCACAAGAUUACAACUGCUCAAUACUUUCAAAGUAUGAGACUUCACAAAACAAUGCUCAAGCACACACGCAAGAGUCUUCCAAUGCUCAAGCACUAAGCAAGAGACUUCUAAUGCUCAAGCACGCAGGCAAGAGACUUCUAAUCAAACAAAAAUACAGAGAAUUGAGUUUGAAUUGAACACUUGAUAUACAAUCAGUGGUGUUCACAAUACAAUACAGAAAAGACUCUAGACUUUGAAUUUCUAAGAUGUAUCAAAUCAGUGCAGAAAUUCAGUGUGCUUUGUAGAAUCAAAUUGACAGAGUUUUGGCGCUUUUGAACUUAUGUAUCUCUAUCUAAAAUCUUCAAGUCUUCAUUCCUUUAUAUAGAGGUGUGAAAGAGACGUUGAGAUAAUCAGCACGUCUAAAGAGUCGUUUGAAAUCCUUUGAUUAUCCACCAGUGAUCCUUUGCCUGAUUUGGGUGUAGUCCUUUGAAGAAUAAACUUCAAAUUCAUUCCCAUCUUGAGUGUACAAAUUCUGCAGGCAUGGCUGUUGUUUUGUCUUGUAGCGUAGACAGAAAACAGAGUAGUGGAGGUAGUGGUUGUACACUUGUACUUUGUCAACUCUAUUAACGAGAGACAAGAGCUCAGUGCUAUCCAUAUAUCCGUUGAUACCUCCCUUUCAAUUCUUUGUUCUUCUUUGAUAAGACUGAAUUGAGAAUCAGCAACUUUGAAUCUUCAGUUUGAUUAAAGGAUCAAAAGUAGCUUCUGGUGAAGAUAUUGCUUCUGAUGAAAACUUUUGCUUCUGAUGACUUUCUGCUUCUGAUGACGUCAUCUCUUCAGGAGCAGUUUAGCUUCAGGAGCAGUUUUCUUCAGAUGCUCAGAAUUUCUUUUUCUUUCCAUUGUUCUUCCAAGACCUAUUGAAAUAACUUGAGUAGCCUUUGGUCCUGUACACUUGAACAAUUAUUAGUAAUAACCAAUUGACAAUUUUUAAUACCUUGUUAUCAUCAAAACUUAAUAAGGUUCAUUGUGAAACACAUUUUGUUCCAACAAUCUCCCCCUUUUUGAUGAUGACAAACAAUAGUAUUUAAAAUGUUCAAUUGUUGUUGAUCUAAUUAAUAAGUUGACUACUGGGACAGAGGUUUGUAAGCUCCCCCUGAGUCUAAUAGUUCUUUAAGGUGAGGUUUGUAAGCUCCCCCUAAGUUCUAUUCUUAUUAAUUAAAUUUCAAUAAAAUACUUAUAAAAUCAAAUCAGAAGUAUUUAAAAGAAAUUUAGAAGAGGUUAUAGUAGGGCUCAGUGCCUUAACAAAUACUAUACAUUUACUCCCCCUUUUGUCAUCAACAAAAAGAAUAGAAACAAAAGAAAGAGUAUCAGAGCAAGCAGCAUUAAAAACAGUAAAUAUCAUCAGAGUUAAAGCUUGUAAAACAUAUUGAAGGUGAAAAAGCACAAGAUCCAGAAACAAUGAUAAUAUAUAUAAAGAAGAUUAAGAUACAAGGACACAGCUACGAAGAACAAAAGUAAAAAACAAGCUAGAGUUGGGUGUGCAACUAAGGUUGGGCUUGCUUAUACAACUGUUCUAAGAGAUACUUGAUCUGAUCAUCCUUCUUCUGAAGUAGCUCAUCCUUUUCCCUCAUUCUUCGUUUAAAUCCAGCCUGAAUUCUAGCAGCCCUAGUGAUGUACUCUUCUUCUGGAUAGAAAGGAGUGAUGUCCAGCAGAGGCACAAAGUUCAGCUCUUUCUCCUUAGCUGCUUCAUGCAUGUCAUCCAAAAGCUUUUUCAGCAUAGCAGAGUGAGAUGACACACAUUUAGUUCUAAGCUGAUCCAGCAGCUCAUCAAAGCUCUUCUGUAGAUCCAUCCACUGAUCAUAAUAGUGAAUAGGAGGUGCAGGAACUGUUCUGCGAAGAAUCAGUGCCUGAAUCUCAUCACUAAGUCUAAUCAGCUGUUCCUCUAUAUACUCAGACUCCAGGAUAUGGUCAGGGAUGGGUGAAGGUUCAGUUUGAGUUGUAUGUGAUGUAGAAGUUUGGUCAGAGGUUAAGUCUAUUAUAGUGGGUGAGUCUGGUUGUUGUUGUUGUUCUGUUGUUUGGUCAGAAGUUGUUUGGUCAGGAGCAACUUGUUCAGAAGCAGUUUGCUCCUGAACAGUUUGCUCAGGGAUGGUUUGGGUUUCUGUUUGGGUUUCCAAGACAGUCUUUUCAGAAACUGUCUUCGAGGCCUUAGUGGGUGUUGGUUGCAUUUCACCACCUAGAUGUUUUUCUAAGUUGUGAAGGGUUGAGGAUUCUUGGUGUUGGGGGGUUUCUGAAGUAGUUGCAUCUGAAGCUACUUCAGAGGCUUUUUGUGGAGAUUGGUUAUUUGGUGAGUUUGUUUGGGUAGGUUCAGGUUGUUGUAUACUAACAGGUUCUGGAGUAUCUGGAUAUAGUGGAUGAGUAGUAGGCAAAUUGAAUUUCUCACAAAGUUUUAUCCUAUUUUUUGAAAAUUCUAUUUGAGUACUCUCAUAGUCAAGUGUUCCAUACUCUGUUAGUUUGGUAGGUUUGGUUUUUAGAAGCUUGUUUAUAUGUUGGCUAAGGGGUUGGUCAUCUGAUUCUGUGGAUGAUGAAGAGGGUGAAGAGGGUAGAGAUAGAGACUGAGUAUUAGUUGGAGCUUUAGAUGGAUUACCUGAGGACUGAGCUUCUGGAUGAAUUGCUUCUGGAGCUGUUGAAACUGGAUCUGAUGAAGUUGCUCCUGAAGCUUGCUUAUUCUUCAAGGCUUGAGAAAGCAGAGUUGCUCCAUACUGAACUGUUUCUAACUCAGACGCUAAAGCAGCAAUGUCAGGAGUAGGCACAUACCCUGCAGCCUUGAGACGCUCAUCCCUUUCUUUCUCAAACACUUCCUUCAACCUUUUCUUUUCUGCUAUCUUGGAUGCAGAAACCUCUCUAGCGUACUGCCUCAUUUCUUCAGUCAUUUCAAAACUGGGCAUGACUAUGGGCUCAGAAGUUGCAGUCCUUUUUGCCUUCUUGGGGCUAGAGUCUUCAUCCCAGUUCUCUUCCAGUUCUUUCAACAUUUCUUCCCUUCUUCCUUCAGCUGUCUUCAGAUUUCUUGUUAAAUUAGACCUCUUCCUUUUGAUGGUCUGAAGAGCAGCUUCUCUUUUAUUUUUGGGACUUGAAGGCUUUUCAGAAGCAGCUUGAUCAGAAGCAGCUUGUUCAGAACCAGCUUGUUCAGAACCAGCUUGUUCAGAAGCAGGCUGUUCUGCUGUUUCUUGAGUACUCCUUGUCCUUUUUCUGAUAAGAGGGACAUCAUCCAAAUCCUCCACUUCCUCAAGAAUGGUGGACAUAGCAGAUUUUUCCUUCUUAGCUUUCUUAUGCUUCUGAGCACCCACCUCAGUAGCAUCUUCAGCAAGGUAUUCUUCCUUGGUGAUCUGCUUCUUUUUAGAUUUUCUGCCUUUGGCCACAGGCAGAUCACCACCAUACAUUUCUUCAGGGAUAUCUUUCAGGCUGAUUUUCUUGUUGUAGCUCUUGUAGUAGUCCAAGAUGUAGGCCCUCUGCACAUCCAGGGGAUCUUUCUUGCAGAUAGGGAUGUGAUGAGUGACUAGAUCAGAUAUGACAUCAGAUUCAUGCAUAUCUGUAUCUAGUUUCUUGCAAGUUGAAAUCAGCCUCAUCUUGACUAGAGUUGCCCCAUUGAUUAUUUUUCCUGUGACUGCUCCCAGCUUCUAAUAUCAUAAAUACCCACGUCUUUCAGGGCACUUAGGAGUCCUCCUUCUUGAAAGAUUAUGGAGAGCAGCCUUCCAUAGGGAACAAACUUCCUGUUCUCCAUCUGGCUCUUCUUGAGUUCCUUGAUCAUGUAUUUAAACAUAUACUUGGGAACGUUCAUUGUUGUUUCCUGAGAGAUGGUGUGAUGCAGAAAGACUUUGUGACCAAGUGAAGGUUGAUCAUUUCCUCCACCUUUGGGAAAAAUGUUUUCAUUUUGGAUCUUCAGCAGCAUUUUCUUUUCCAUGCUUAAGGUGCUGUAAGGCUUAGCAUCCUUUGAUCCGUAGAUAGUGUUGUUUACUAUCUCCUUCCAUGGGCUUGUUCUGGGGUUAGGAAUCUCUUCUCCAUCGUAUGUCCCAGAAGCAUCCCUUCUCAUGGCUUGAGCAAUCACAUGCUCAUUGAUUGUUACAGGAAUCCCCAUGACGUUUGAUCUAAUCUCAGUCCCAGUGAAGGCGAGUAGACCCAUUUCUUCUCUGGUUUUUCCCUCCAAAGUAGGAUCAACCAGAAUCAUCUGAGCUUCUUCCUGUUUAGCAGCAACUUUGUCAAACACUGAAGCUCUUACCCAGAAUUGUCUGACAAGCACUUCAUAAGUAGGACCGUUGAGAAGACUGAAGUAACUCAUCAGCUUCUGCUUUUUGUAGAAUCUUACCAAGUCGCAUCCAUGAUGAGUUAGAGAAGUGAAAUCCACUGGAUUUUCCGCUUGAAUGAUUAGAUCCCAUUCCUCAAUCGACAUAGUUCUUCCUUUGAUUUCAUAAGCAGGAGUAUCUAUAUCCAUAUUCGAUGAAGAACCACCGGCAGAACUUGAAGAUGCCAUGAUUUUAAGUAGAAUUAGGGUUCUAAGGUGUUUUGAGAGGUUGAGAGAAUGUGCUUACUUACACAGAGGGUUGAGAAGAAAUUAGAAAGUGUUUGUUGUGAAGUGAGAAGUGUGUGAAAUGACUUAGUGUUUUUUAUUAAAACGUUUGUAAUUCAGAAGGGACAAACAAACAUAGCAUUAAUGACAAAUUGGGGGCGCGUGUAAGUAUGUUAAAAAGCGAAUAAAACAUCAUUGCCCUUUUUGUUAUACUCCAAUACAAAUAGACCACGUCAGAGACUCUUCAGAAAACUACUUUUUGGGUAAUGGGACAGCUGUUUACAUAAAGUAACUACCAACGUUCCCACUAACCAAACUAUUCAGAAGCAAAGAAUAACACUUCUGAAGUUUUAGUGCUGACGUCAUCUUCAGAAGCACAUUUUCCUCAGAACCUCAGUUAAGAGCUUCUGAUGAACCAAAAUGCUCCUGAAUAAACUUCAGAACCAAACUUCUUAUUCAGAGGCAAGCAAUUUUUCAAUCAGACACAAAAUACAUGUUCAAAUUUUUCUUAAUAAAAUCAAAUCUUUCAACAGACAAAGGUUUUGUAAAUAUAUCAGCCCAUUGAUGUUCAGUAUCAAUGAAUUGUAUAUCUAAAAUUCCUUUUUGAACAUAGUCUCUGAUAAAAUGGUGUUUGAUUUCAAUAUGCUUGGCUCUUGAAUGUAGAAUUGGAUUCUUUGACAAAUAAAUAGCAGCAGUAUUAUCACAAUAAAUGGGAAUACUGUUAGCAUUGAUCUGAUAGUCUUCCAACUGAUGUUUCAUCCAAAGUAGUUGUGUGCAACAACUUGCAGCUGAAAUGUACUCUGCUUCUGCUGUAGACAUAGCAAUAGUUGCUUGUCUUUUGCUUGCCCAGGAUAUCAGAUUCUCUCCCAGGAAUUGACAAUUUCCACUGGUUGAUUUUCUUUCAAUCCUAUCACCAGCAUAAUCAGCAUCACAGAAUCCAAUCAACUUAUAAUCUAGGGAUUUCCUAUACAGGAGUCCAAGAUUAGUUGUUCCUUUCAGAUACCUGAAGAUUCUCUUAACUGCAGUUAAAUGAGAUUCUCUAGGAUCUGAUUGAAAUCUUGCACACAAGCAUACACUGAAUAAAAUAUCAGGUCUAGAUGCAGUGAGGUAUAACAGAGAACCAAUCAUACCUCUGUAUAGCUUCUGGUCUACUACUGUUCCAGUAUCUUCUUUGCUUAAGGUGCAGGUUGGAUGCAUUGGAGUGUUCAUCACUUUACAAUCUUCUAGCUUGAACUUCUUCAGAAGCUCCUUUGUAUAUUUUGUUUGAUGAACAUAUACUCCUUCUUUACUUUGGUUGAUUUGAAUUCCCAGAAAGAAUUUCAAUUCUCCCAUCAUACUUAUUUCAAAUUCAUCCUGCAUUAACUUAGAAAAUUCUUUGCAAAGAGAUGCAUUAGUAGAACCAAAUAUUAUAUCAUCAACAUAUAUUUGCACAAUCAAAAUAUCUUUCUUAAGAGUCCUUCUGAAGAGUGCUGUGUCAACUUGUCCUCUUUCAAAAUCAUUUUUAAUUAAGAAAUUACUUAGUCUAUCAUACCAAGCUCUGGGAGCUUGUUUCAAGCCAUAUAGUGAUUUCUUAAGUUUAUAAACAUGGUCAGGAUGCUUAAGAUCCUCAAACCCAGGAGGUUGUUUGACAUACACUUCUUCUUCAAUGACACCAUUAAGAAAAGCACUUUUGACAUCCAUUUGAUAUAAUAUUAUGCCAUGAUUAAUUGCGUAGGAUAGAAGUAACCUGAUUGCUUCCAAUCUUGCAACUGGAGCAAAUGUUUCAGUGUAAUCAAUGCCUUCUUGUUGACUGUAGCCUUGAGCAACAAGUCUGGCUUUGUUUCUGGUUACUUCUCCUUGUUCAUUCAGCUUGUUUCUGAAUACCCAUUUUGUUCCAAUAAUGUUCUUCUGAGAAGGUUUGGGUACCAGAUCCCACACAUCAUUCCUUUGGAAUUGAUUUAGCUCUUCUUGCAUAGCUAAUAUCCAUCCAUCAUCUGAGAGAGCUUCUUCAACAGUUUUAGGCUCAAUUAUUGAAAGCAGUCCUAUUAAUGACUCUUCUUGUCUAAAAUGUGAUCUUGUUCUUCUAGGACUAUCUUUGCUUCCAAUGAUUAACUCCUCAGGAUGUGAAGAUUUGUGCUUGAAUUUAGGUUGAAUAACCUGCUGAGUGUUAUCUUGAAAGUCCUCAGAAGCACUUUCAUUCUGUACUUUUGGGCUAGGUUCUGCUUCUGAAUUAGACUCAGCUUCUGGGGUGAUUUCAGCUUCUGGACAAGAUUCAACUUCUGUAUACUUUUCAGAAUCAGAAGGUUGAUCAGAUUCUGAUGCAUCUUCAGAAUCAGUUGUACCUGCAUUACUUUCACUUUGCUCUGAAGUUUUACUUCCAGGCUCUCUAUCAUCAAAUUUUACAUGCAUAGAUUCUUCAACACAUUGUGUUUCUGAAUUAUACACUCUGUAUGCCUUUGACCUUUCAGAGUAACCUAAAAAGAUUCCUCUUUGAGCCUUGGCAUCAAAUUUCUUCAGAUAGUCUUUAGUGUUUAAGAUGUAACAAGUACAUCCAAACUGAUGAAAGUAAGAGAUAUUGGGUCUUCUUCCUUUAAAGAGUUCAUAUGCAGUUUUCUCCAACAUAGGUCUGAUAUAGAUCCUAUUUUGAAUAUAACAUGAAGUAUUGACUGCUUCUGCCCAAAAAUGUUUAGCUAAGUUGUUUUCAUGGAUCAUGGUUCUGGCCAUUUCUGGUAAGGUUCUGUUCUUUCUUUCUACAACCCCAUUUUGUUGUGGAGUUCUAGGAGAAGAAAACUCAUGGAGAAUCCCAUGUUUUUCACAAAAAAGUUCAAAUGGCUCAUUUUCAAAUUCUCCACCAUGAUCACUUCUGACUUUCAAAAUUUUCAAUUCUUUUUCAGAUUGUAUUUGAGUGCAGAAGCUGCUAAACACUUCACAUGCAUAGUCUUUACUUUUAAUGAAUUUUACCCAAGUCCAUCUGCUGUAAUCAUCAACAAUGACUAAUCCGUAUUUACUUCCAUAUAAAGAUGCAGUGUUAACUGGACCAAAAAGAUCAAUAUGGAGUAAUUCUAAGGGUCUGGAGGUUGAUACAAUGUCUUUAGAUUUGAAAGAACUUUUCACAAUUUUCCCUUUCUGACAUGCACCACAAAGUGCAUCUGAAUGAUAAUCAAUGUUAGGCAAUCCUUUGACCAGUUGUAACUUGCUAAUUUUAGAAAUUAAUCUCCAAUUAGCAUGUCCCAACCUUUUAUGCCAUACCCAUUUUUUAUCAUUCAUUGACAGAAGGCAAACUACCUUCUGAUCAGCCAGAUCAGAGAAAUUUAUUUUAUAGACAUUCUCAACUCUCUUUCCCUUGAAUGUAAUGGAUUUGUCAUCCUUGUUGACUAGUGUGCAGUUGGUCUUACUGAACGUUACAUCAUACCCAUUGUCACAAAAUUGACUAAUGCUCAAUAGGUUAUGCUUCAGACCAUCUACUAGCCACACAUUAUUAAUUGAGAUGGAGGAAUUACCAAUAGUACCUGUACCAAUGAUCUUUCCAGUUUGGUUGCCACCAAACUUCACUUCUCCUCCAUCUUUCAUUGUAAGGGUAAGGAACAAAGCUUUCUCUCCAGUCAUGUGCCUUGAACAUCCGCUGUCUAGGUACCAUGACCUUUGUUUCUCUCUUGCCCUUAAGCACACCUGCAUUUUUGGCCAAUUCAGAUUUAGGUACCCAUAUCUUCAUGGGUCCUUUUGGGUUAGUUUUGGAGGUUUUACUUUUCCUCCCUUGUACCUUAGGGUGAAUGCUGAGUGGCUUAUGAUCAUUCAAUACUUUAGGUUUGACACCUUUUGGUAUUGUUUUCUCAGAAGCAGUAGCUGCUUUGUUCUUCUGAUCCUUUUGUUUUGGAAUUUUAGAUUCUGGUUUAAUCAGAUUCUGAUGAACAGGUUCUGAUCUUUUCAGAAUUUUAAUCUUUUGACUCUUAGGAUCAGAUUUUGUCAUUACCUUGAUCUUAAGAUUCUCUGCCUUUGAUGUGAUCUUAGCCUGUGAACCUGAAGCUUCAGGUUUUGACUGAACAGCAGUUAUAGCAUUUGUACCUUCAGGCACAAAGGUGGAUUUCAAUCCAUCCUUGAUACAAUCACAGUAGCUCUUGAGACUGUAUUCUUUGGAUUUCUCCUCAGAAUAUCCAAUCCCUUUGCCUUUGUUCUUGUAUGUGCUGUAGAUCAUAGAAGCAACUUUGCUUCUGUCUAUUCCAGCCAUAAUAAAAUCAUCCAAGGCAAUCUCAUGUUUAUUGCCUGAACCUUUAUCACAUUUUUCUUGUAGCUUCUGACAAAGACUCUUGAGUCUAUCUUCAUAUGUUGUUGAUAUGAGGUUAAACCCUUUGAGUUCUUCUUCAGAAGCUUUCAGUUCCAAUAGAGUUGAUUUUUGUUGUUUCAUCAAAUCAACAUAUUUUUCUUUUAAAUCUGUCAACUCAUUGGUUCUGUGUUCAAACAGUGAUAAAAGUUCUUUUAGAGAAUCAACAAGUUCUUGUCUAGGGAUUUUGGAAUAUACCUCAUUUUCAUCUUCUGAAUCUGAUUCAGCUUCUGAUACUGCUUCUGAUGAUACUGUUGCCACUAACCCAACGGCUGCCUUAGCAUCAUCAUCAGCUUCUUCUUUAUCAGAACCAGAUUCACUAUCCAAAUCUUCCCAGGUCGCCAUCAAGCUCUUUUUGAUUUGCUUUCUGAAUUUACUGGAGUUGAAGCUUGAUUUCUUGGAUUUGCCUUUAAACUUCUCCUUCUGAAGAUCAGGGCAAUCAGCAAUGAAAUGACCAGGCUUCUUACAAUUGAAGCAUCCCUUCUGAUCUUCUUUCUUGAAGUUCUUGUAGCUACCUCUCUUGCUCAAAAAUUUCUUCUGCUUCCUUGCCAGAUACUCAAGCUUGUUGGACAGCAUAGCCAUCUUUACAGAUUGAUCUUCAUCAGAAUCUCCAUCAGGUGAUUCUUCUUCAGAUUCACUGGCUUUGUAGGCUUUGGAAGACUUUGAGGUCUUUCCUUUAGAUGGUAAAGCAAUGGAUUUACUCUUCUUAGAGGUUUCAUGCUCAUUUAAACUCAUUUCAUGCACUUUGAGUGAGCUAACAAGAUCUUCAACACUUAAAGUAUUUAGAUCCUUAGCUUCCUCAAUAGCAGUUACUUUGGGUCUCCAUCUUGAAGGUAAGCUUCUCAAAAUCUUACUAACAUGAUCAGAAGCAACAUAGCUUUUCUUCAGUAUCUGCAAUCCAGAAACUAAAGUUUGAAAUCUUGAGUACAUUUCUUCUAUACUCUCAUCAUCCUUCAUUCUGAAAAGUUCAUACUGAUGAACUAGCAUCAAAGCUUUAGCCUCUUUUACUUUCUUGCUGCCUUCAAAGUUUGCACAUAGAGAAGCAAACAUAGCCUUCGCAGUAGAUUUGUCACUCAUUUUCAUGUAUUCGGUGCGAGGUAUAGAAGCCACAAUGAUUCCUCUUAUCUUGUGAUGUUUCUUAUAAAGCUUCUUCUGAGCAGGAGUAUGUAUUCUUCUGUCUAUAGCAGCUCCUUCUUCAUCCAAAUCCAGAUCAUCAACUCCAUCUUCCAGUAUAUCCCAUAGCUCUUCAUCCAAUCCCAUGAUAAAGCUGUACAUAUUAGUUUUCCACCAUGAAAACUCUUCUGGAUCUCCAUUAAACUUUGGAGCUUUUCCAGAGUCUGUUUUCUUGUCAGCAGUAUCAUAGUCAUGCUUGACACUUGUGUAUUUUGGAGUAACUGAUUCCUCAUCUCCAGACAUGUUUUUCUAAUAGAUCUUGAACUGUAACACGGUUAAGUGCUGUGAUAACAGAGCAAGCUCUGAUACCAAUUGAAGGUGAAAAACACAAGAAGGGGGGGGGGGGGUUGAAUUGUGUUUUCUUUUUCUCUUAAAAAGGGAUUCUUCUUCUGAUAAAACUUCAGAAGCAGUUUGAUUGCUUCUGAUGAAAUGAUCAGAGUCAGAUUGCAGCGGAAAAGAACAGAGCAGAGAAAAGAAAGACAAAGACACAGGCAGUUAUCCUGGUUCCUUCCACAACACGGAAGUAGUCCAGUCCCCCUUGCACUUCCAAGGAGAUUUCACUAUAAUCACAAGAUUACAACUGCUCAAUACUUUCAAAGUAUGAGACUUCACAAAACAAUGCUCAAGCACACACGCAAGAGUCUUCCAAUGCUCAAGCACUAAGCAAGAGACUUCUAAUGCUCAAGCACGCAGGCAAGAGACUUCUAAUCAAACAAAAAUACAGAGAAUUGAGUUUGAAUUGAACACUUGAUAUACAAUCAGUGGUGUUCACAAUACAAUACAGAAAAGACUCUAGACUUUGAAUUUCUAAGAUGUAUCAAAUCAGUGCAGAAAUUCAGUGUGCUUUGUAGAAUCAAAUUGACAGAGUUUUGGCGCUUUUGAACUUAUGUAUCUCUAUCUAAAAUCUUCAAGUCUUCAUUCCUUUAUAUAGAGGUGUGAAAGAGACGUUGAGAUAAUCAGCACGUCUAAAGAGUCGUUUGAAAUCCUUUGAUUAUCCACCAGUGAUCCUUUGCCUGAUUUGGGUGUAGUCCUUUGAAGAAUAAACUUCAAAUUCAUUCCCAUCUUGAGUGUACAAAUUCUGCAGGCAUGGCUGUUGUUUUGUCUUGUAGCGUAGACAGAAAACAGAGUAGUGGAGGUAGUGGUUGUACACUUGUACUUUGUCAACUCUAUUAACGAGAGACAAGAGCUCAGUGCUAUCCAUAUAUCCGUUGAUACCUCCCUUUCAAUUCUUUGUUCUUCUUUGAUAAGAUUGAAUUGAGAAUCAGCAACUUUGAAUCUUCAGUUUGAUUAAAGGAUCAAAAGUAGCUUCUGGUGAAGAUAUUGCUUCUGAUGAAAACUUUUGCUUCUGAUGACUUUCUGCUUCUGAUGACGUCAUCUCUUCAGGAGCAGUUUAGCUUCAGGAGCAGUUUUCUUCAGAUGCUCAGAAUUUCUUUUUCUUUCCAUUAUUCUUCCAAGACCUAUUGAAAUAACUUGAGUAGCCUUUGGUCCUGUACACUUGAACAAUUAUUAGUAAUAACCAAUUGACAAUUUUUAAUACCUUGUUAUCAUCAAAACUUAAUAAGGUUCAUUGUGAAACACAUUUUGUUCCAACAACAUCUGGUCAGGAACAUCCUUCAAGUUGAUUUUCUCGUUGUAGGUUUUGUAGAAGUCCAUGAUGUAUGCCCUUUGAACAUCCAAGGGAUCUUGUUUACAGAUGGGAGGAAAGUUUGGAAUAAGAUCUGAUUUGGCAUCUGAUGGCUUUAAAUCAGUAGGUCUCUUCUUAACAUCUUUUGCUUCAAUCAGACGCAUAGACCUUAGAGUCUCACCAUUGAUAAUAUUUCCUCUAACAGUUCCCAACUGUUCAUCUGUGAAGAUCUGAUCUUCCUUCAGCAAAUCAAUUAUUCCUCCCUGAUGGAAAAUCUCAGAGAGUAGCCUCCCAUAGGGUACCCAAAACCUAUUAUUUUGUUGGCUCUCUCUGAGUUGAUGAACCAUAUGUCUGAAAAUGUAUCAGGGAAUAUUUGCCUCUACACCCUUUAUGACAAAGUGUAAGAGGAUUUUAUGUUCCAGAGAGGGCUGAUCACUACCACCACCUUUUGGUAGUAGGUUUUCGUUCUGAAUCUUCAACAAUACCUCUGUCUUGGCAUUCAUAUCAGAAUAGGCAAAGUCCUUUACCUUGUUGUAGAGAGUUCUGUUAACAAUAGCGUUCCAGGGGCUGUCCUUUGGCUUUGAAAUCCCAGCCUCAUGUUCUCCUUCUGCUGGUCUUCUGAUGACAAAGGCAAUAGUGUCCUCAGUGAUCCAAACUGGGAUUCCCAUGUUGCUUGAUCUUAUCUGGGUUUUGG